GUCUGACGGAGCAACGCCGCGUGAACGAAGAAGGUCUUCGGAUGUAAAGUUCUGUGAUUCGGGACGAAAGGGUUUGUGGUGAAUAAUCAUAGACAUUGACGGUACCGAAAAAGCAAGCCACGGCUAACUACGUGCCAGCAGCCGCGGUAAUACGUAGGUGGCAAGCGUUGUCCGGAAUUAUUGGGCGUAAAGCGCGCGCAGGCGGUUUCUUAAGUCCAUCUUAAAAGCGUGGGGCUCAACCCCAUGAGGGGAUGGAAACUGGGAAGCUGGAGUAUCGGAGAGGAAAGUGGAAUUCCUAGUGUAGCGGUGAAAUGCGUAGAGAUUAGGAAGAACACCGGUGGCGAAGGCGACUUUCUAGACGAAAACUGACGCUGAGGCGCGAAAGCGUGGGGAGCAAACAGGAUUAGAUACCCUGGUAGUCCACGCCGUAAACGAUGGAUACUAGGUGUAGGAGGUAUCGACCCCUCCUGUGCCGGAGUUAACGCAAUAAGUAUCCCGCCUGGGAAGUACGAUCGCAAGAUUAAACUCAAAGGAAUUGACGGGGGCCCGCACAAGCGGUGGAGUAUGUGGUUUAAUUCGACGCAACGCGAGAACCU
RNAcentral lists this ribosomal RNA (596 nucleotides) under Dialister pneumosintes. Its description in RNAcentral is "bacterial SSU rRNA". It matches the Rfam family "Bacterial small subunit ribosomal RNA", at positions 381 to 971 of the family's 1533-position model. The record is from RNAcentral. Lineage: Bacteria; Bacillati; Bacillota; Negativicutes; Veillonellales; Veillonellaceae.